CCUACGGGUGGCAGCAGUAGGGAAUAUUGCUCAAUGGGGGAAACCCUGAAGCAGCAACGCCGCGUGGAGGAUGACGGUUCUAUGAGUUUAAACUCCUUUUGGUAAAGAAGAUUUUGAGUGUAUCUAACGAAUAAGCACCGGCUAACUCCGUACCAGCAACGGCGGUAAUAAGGCGGGUGCAGGCGUUACUCGGAAGCACUGGGCGUAAAGAGGGCGUAGGGGGGAAAAUAGGUUCGAUGUGAAAACCUUUAGUUUAACUACAGAACUGCCGUUGAAACUGUUACUCUUGAGUGUGGGAGAGGUAUGUGGAAUGCUUGGUGUAGGGGUAAAAUCCGUAGAGAUCAAGAGGAAUACUCAUUGCGAAGGCGACCUGCUGGAACCUUACUGACGCUGAUGCACGAAAGCGUGGGUAGCAAACAGGAUUAGAUACCCGAGUAGUC
This 440-nucleotide ribosomal RNA is filed under the name uncultured bacterium. RNAcentral's name for it is "partial 16S ribosomal RNA". It matches the Rfam family "Bacterial small subunit ribosomal RNA", at positions 338 to 795 of the family's 1533-position model. The record is from RNAcentral.